GAAUUCUAUUACUUGGGCUUGGGCCACAUGGGCACUGUUGCACAAGUAAAUAGGGCAUCAUGUUGAUUUAUGCUAUAGGUUUAACUACUACCAAAAUAAAAUUGCCACAAACAGAAUUAUAUUAAAAGCAAUAAACAAUGUUACUCAACAUAUCCAACGACAAUAAACAUCACAUUUAGGGGGAAUGUCACAGUUGAGUUUUUCACACAUUGUUAAAACUGAAUGGAUCCCUCUUGUUUGCAUGUAAUUCAAACCAAAAUUGAACCAUUUAUAAAUGUUAACUGAAAAUUUGGUUAACUGACUUCAUAGGUCAAUUAACCGCUUUCUCAGCUGGUUUGAAAAACUCUGAACUAAUUUCUUUACCCGGCAGUCAUCCUAGAAAAAUUUUGAAAUCCAGGCCACACUAGUUGGGUCACUGGAACUCUAGUGAAGGCUGCUGUCAAGUGCAAAUGAACAUGAAAUGAAAAUGAAAAUGCACCAUUUAUAUACAAAGAGACAGCACCUCCAUCAUUGAACAUUUACGAUAUGUACCAACAUCAUUCUGAGAAUAUGAACAACAACAUGCUGUAAGAAAUCACGUCUACUCUUCUUCUUUUUUUU
Molecule: unclassified non-coding RNA, 600 nt
Filed under: Hevea brasiliensis (rubber tree)
Lineage: Eukaryota; Viridiplantae; Streptophyta; Magnoliopsida; Malpighiales; Euphorbiaceae
Source: RNAcentral